This 460-nucleotide ribosomal RNA is filed under the name uncultured bacterium. RNAcentral's name for it is "partial 16S ribosomal RNA". It matches the Rfam family "Bacterial small subunit ribosomal RNA", at positions 338 to 795 of the family's 1533-position model. The record is from RNAcentral.
CCUACGUGAGGCAGCAGUGAGGAAUAUUGGUCAAUGGGCGGGAGCCUGAACCAGCCAAGUCGCGUGAGGGAAGACGGUCCUAUGGAUUGUAAACCCCUUUAGGCGGGGAGCAAUGCCGGGCACGCGUGCCCGGAGGGAGAGUACCCGCAGAAUAAGCAUGGGCUAACUCCGUGCCAGCAGCCGCGGUAAUACGGAGGAUGCGAGCGUUAUCCGGAUUUAUUGGGGUUAAAGGGUGCGUUGGCGGAUUUUUAAGUCGGCGGUAAAAUGUCCGGGCUCAACCCGGGGCGGCCGUUGAAACUGGGGUUCUUGAGUGGGCGAGAGGUAUGCGGAAUGCGUGGUGUAGCGGUGAAAUGCGUAGAUAUCACGCAGAACUCCGAUUGCGAAGGCAGCAUACCGGCGCCCGACUGACGCUGAGGCACGAAAGCGUGGGGAUCGAACAGGAUUAGAUACCCGGGUAGUC